GAAUCCGAGCGUGGGUCCAGGGCCGGGAAGAAAAGAAAGUCACCCAGGACUACAAUUCCCACAAUGCACUUCAUGGGCUUCUCUCGACGUGUGCUCUUGGAAAACGUAGUACAUUGUGGGGCAAGAUUUAAAAAUGCAGGAGGGAGGUGGGAGGGCCAAAGUCAGAGAGAGAAGAGGAGAUGCUAUUUCUGAAAGAGGACCAUGAACCAAAGGAUGCAGAUAGACUCUAGAAGCUAGAAACAGCAAAGAAUGGAUUAUCCCUGGAGCCUCUGGAAGGAACACAGCCCUGCCAACUUUGUGAUUUUGGCCUUGGAAGGUCCAUUUUUGGACUUAUGACAUUCAGAACUGUCCAUAAAGACAGAGAUGAGAAAGCAACAUACAUUCAGGAUAUAGACUUGGUCCAAGGAGCAGAAAGAUACUCAGGUAACAGAAUGGGAUAGAAUACAUAAAAGGGGUUGGGUUAACAAAAUAUUUAAGUUAUUUCCUCUAGCUAACAUAAAAUAUAACUUUUCUCUCUCUAUCAUAUGUUAACUAAGUGAAAUAAAGAACAUCUUAAAAUUAAUUUUUGUCGGGGCUCCUGGGUGGCUCA
Acinonyx jubatus (cheetah) is the source of this 589-nucleotide long non-coding RNA. RefSeq lists it as uncharacterized. The record is from RefSeq and is a predicted model, not a curated record. Lineage: Eukaryota; Metazoa; Chordata; Mammalia; Carnivora; Felidae. The transcript has 3 exons.